UGGGGAAUAUUGGACAAUGGGCGAAAGCCUGAUCCAGCCAUGCCGCGUGAGUGAUGAAGGCCCUCGGGUCGUAAAGCUCUGUGGAGAGGGAAGAAUCCCUGCAGCAUCAGAUCCUGCAGGUUGACGGUACCUCUUUAGCAAGCACCGGCUAACUCCGUGCCAGCAGCCGCGGUAAUACGGAGGGUGCAAACGUUGCUCGGAAUCAUUGGGCGUAAAGCGCACGUAGGCGGACUGUUAAGUCGGACGUGAAAUCCCUCAGCUUAACUGAGGAAGUGCAUUCGAAACUGGCAGUCUUGAGUACGGGAGAGGGUCGCGGAAUUCCCGGUGUAGAGGUGAAAUUCGUAGAUAUCGGGAGGAACACCAGUGGCGAAGGCGGCGGCCUGGACCGAUACUGACGCUGAGGUGCGAAAGCGUGGGGAGCAAACAG
RNAcentral lists this ribosomal RNA (427 nucleotides) under uncultured bacterium. RNAcentral describes it as "bacterial SSU rRNA". It matches the Rfam family "Bacterial small subunit ribosomal RNA", at positions 355 to 775 of the family's 1533-position model. The record is from RNAcentral.